ACUGGUUCACCACAGGGGUAGGAAGAGGACCGGCGUAUUCAGGCAGGAUUUGGUUCUCAUUUUGCUCUUGGCUCUUGGGGUGGAAAAAUCGAAGCAUUCCCGCUCAGCUCAGCUCAGCGCUGCAGAGGCAGAGAGGCUCUCUGCAGCGAGGAGCCCAACCACUUUCUCUGGAAUCUGCUGCCUCGGCGGGCUUUCCGAUGGAGCCACCAUCUGGACUGUAUUAUGGGCCGGGGAGAAGGCAGAGAGCGGGAACACCGAGCUGGCCCCAGGCUCCAGUCUGCAGUGGCCUACAGAUGCUUAUGUAGAGCCCCAUUGGAAACCGCUCAUCGCCCAGAAAGGACCCUGGACCCUCAUCUCCCUGCUGCCUCGGAGGUGCAGUUUACCGGGGGCAGCCAUCUCUUGUCUUCUCUCCUGCCCUGAGAUCUCUCCUGGAUAAGACGGUGCAAGGCCUGCUGUGGCCCGGGCCUCCGUGUUCCCUCGUGGCCUCGGUGGAGUUUCCAGAUGGAAUCAAGUGGAUGCCAAAGACCCAGAGAGGGGCUGGAGAGAUGGCUUAGUGGUUAAGCACUUGCCUGUGAAGCCUAAGGACCCUGGUUCAAGGCUCGAUUCCCCAGGACCCACGUU
Long non-coding RNA from Jaculus jaculus (lesser Egyptian jerboa), 621 nucleotides. RefSeq lists it as uncharacterized. The transcript is spliced from 4 exons. Lineage: Eukaryota; Metazoa; Chordata; Mammalia; Rodentia; Dipodidae. The record is from RefSeq and is a predicted model, not a curated record.